UCUGGCUCAGGACGAACGCUGGCGGCGUGCUUAACACAUGCAAGUCGAACGAUGAAGCCCAGCUUGCUGGGUGGAUUAGUGGCGAACGGGUGAGUAACACGUGGGUGAUCUGCCCUGCACUUCGGGAUAAGCCUGGGAAACUGGGUCUAAUACCGGAUAUGACCAAAGGCUGCAUGGUUUUUGGUGGAAAGUUUUUCGGUGCAGGAUGAGCCCGCGGCCUAUCAGCUUGUUGGUGGGGUAAUGGCCUACCAAGGCGACGACGGGUAGCCGGCCUGAGAGGGCGACCGGCCACACUGGGACUGAGACACGGCCCAGACUCCUACGGGAGGCAGCAGUGGGGAAUAUUGCACAAUGGGCGAAAGCCUGAUGCAGCGACGCCGCGUGAGGGAUGACGGCCUUCGGGUUGUAAACCUCUUUCACCAGGGACGAAGCGCAAGUGACGGUACCUGGAGAAGAAGCACCGGCCAACUACGUGCCAGCAGCCGCGGUAAUACGUAGGGUGCGAGCGUUGUCCGGAAUUACUGGGCGUAAAGAGCUCGUAGGCGGUUUGUCGCGUCGUCUGUGAAAUCCCGCAGCUCAACUGCGGGCUUGCAGGCGAUACGGGCAAACUCGAGUACUGCAGGGGAGACUGGAAUUCCUGGUGUAGCGGUGAAAUGCGCAGAUAUCAGGAGGAACACCGGUGGCGAAGGCGGGUCUCUGGGCAGUAACUGACGCUGAGGAGCGAAAGCGUGGGUAGCGAACAGGAUUAGAUACCCUGGUAGUCCACGCCGUAAACGGUGGGCGCUAGGUGUGGGUUUCCUUCCACGGGAUCCGUGCCGUAGCUAACGCAUUAAGCGCCCCGCCCUG
RNAcentral lists this ribosomal RNA (846 nucleotides) under Rhodococcus sp. (in: high G+C Gram-positive bacteria). RNAcentral's name for it is "bacterial SSU rRNA". It matches the Rfam family "Bacterial small subunit ribosomal RNA", at positions 18 to 873 of the family's 1533-position model. Lineage: Bacteria; Bacillati; Actinomycetota; Actinomycetes; Mycobacteriales; Nocardiaceae. The record is from RNAcentral.